GAUGAACGCUGGCGGCGUGCCUAAUACAUGCAAGUCGAGCGAACGGACGAGUAGCUUGCUUUUCUGAUGUUAGCGGCUGACGUGUGAGUAACACGUGGAUAACCUACCUAUAAUACUUGGAUAACUUCGGGAAACCGGAGCUAAUACCGUAUAAUAUUUUGAACCGCAUGGUUCAAUAGUGAAAUACGGUCUUGCUGUCACUUAUAGAUGGAUCCGCGCUGCAUUAGCUAGUUGGUAAGGUAACGGCUUACCAAGGCAACGAUGCAUAGCCGACCUGAGAGGGUGAACGGCAAAACGGGAACGGAGAAAAGGUAAAGACAACUACGGGAGGAAGAAGUAGGGAAGAGGACGCAAUGGGCGAAAGCAUGACGGAGAAACGCGGAGUGAGUGAUGAAGGUAUUAGGAUCGUAAAAAUCUGUUAGUAGGGAAGAAAAAAUGUGGAAGAAACUGUGAACAUAUUGACGGUAACUAAUCAGAAAGCAACGGCUAACUACGUG
This 497-nucleotide ribosomal RNA is filed under the name uncultured bacterium. RNAcentral describes it as "partial 16S ribosomal RNA". It matches the Rfam family "Bacterial small subunit ribosomal RNA", at positions 28 to 507 of the family's 1533-position model. The record is from RNAcentral.